CGGGAUGUAGCGCAGCUGGUAGCGCGCUUGGUUUGGGACCAAGAUGCCGCAGGUUCGAAUCCUGUCAUCCCGA
This 73-nucleotide transfer RNA is filed under the name Treponema sp. Its description in RNAcentral is "tRNA-Pro". It matches the Rfam family "tRNA". Rfam says of the family: Transfer RNA (tRNA) molecules are approximately 80 nucleotides in length. Their secondary structure includes four short double-helical elements and three loops (D, anti-codon, and T loops). Further hydrogen bonds mediate the characteristic L-shaped molecular structure. tRNAs have two regions of fundamental functional importance: the anti-codon, which is responsible for specific mRNA codon recognition, and the 3' end, to which the tRNAs corresponding amino acid is attached (by aminoacyl-tRNA synthetases). tRNAs cope with the degeneracy of the genetic code in two manners: having more than one tRNA (with a specific anti-codon) for a particular amino acid; and 'wobble' base-pairing, i.e. permitting non-standard base-pairing at the 3rd anti-codon position. Lineage: Bacteria; Pseudomonadati; Spirochaetota; Spirochaetia; Treponematales; Treponemataceae. The record is from RNAcentral. RNAcentral also lists the same sequence under 1 other name.